UUCGAUCCUGGCUCAGGAUUGAACGCUAUGGAUGCUUUACACAUGCAAGUCGAACGGCAGCACGGACUUCGGUCUGGUGGCGAGUGGCGAACGGGUGAGUAAUGUAUCGGAACGUGCCUUCCAGUAGCGGGAUAGCGAAAGCAGUAGCUAAUACCGCACACACCCUUCGGGAAAGCGGGGACCUUCGGGCUCGCACUAUUAGAGCGGCCGAUAUCGGAUUAGCUAGUUGGUGGGGUAACGGCUCACCAAGGACGAUCCGUAGCUGGUUUGAGGACGACCAGCCACACUGGGACUGAGACACGGCCCAGACUCCUACGGGAGGCAGCAGUGGGGGAAUUCUGGGACAAUGGGGAAACCUGAUCCAGCCAUCCUCCGGGCGUGUGCGAUGAAGGCCUUCGGGUUGUAAAGCACUUUUGGCAGGAAACGGCACGGGGAUAAUACCCUGCGCAACUGACGGUACCUGCAGAAUAAGCACCGCCAACUACGCCAGCAGCCGCGUAAUACGGAAGCGUUAACGGAAUUACUGGGCGUAACGCGCGUGGCGGCAGGCGGUUCGGAAAGAAAGAUGUGAAAUCCCAGAGCUUAACUUUGAACCGCAUUUUUAACUACCGAGCUAGAGUGUGUCAGAGGGAGGUGGAAUUCCGCGUGUAGUAGUGAAAUGCGUAGAUAUGCGGAGGAACACCGAUGGCGAAGGCAGCCUCCUGGGAUAACACUGACGUGCCUGGCACGAAAGCAGACAAACAGAUUAGAUACCCUGGUAGUCCACGCCCUAAACGAUACCAACUAGCUGUUGGGGCCUCUGGGCCUUGGCAUGCAGCUAACGCAGUUGACCGCCUGGGAGUACGGUCGCAAGAUUAAAACUCAAAGGAAUUGACGGGGACCCGCACAAGCGGUGGAUGAUGUGGAUUAAUUCGAUGCAACGCGAAAACCUUACCUACCCUUGACAUGUCUGGAAUCCCGAAGAGAUUUGGGAGUGUCGCAAGAGAACCGGAACACAGGUGCUGCAUGGCUGUCGUCAGUUCGUGUCGUGAGAUGCGUUGGGUUAAGUCCCGCAACGAGCGCAACCCUUGUCAUUAUUGCUACGAAAGGGCACUCUAAUGAGACUGCCGGUGACAAACCGGAGGAAGGUGGGGAUGACGUCAAGUCCUCAUGGCCCUUAUGGGUAGGGUCACACGUCAUACAAUGGUCGGGACAGAGGGUCGCCAACCCGCGAGGGGGAGCCAAUCCCAGAAACCCGAUCGUCCGGAUCGCAGUCUGCAACUCGACUGCGUGAAGUCGGAAUCGCUAGUAAUCGCGGAUCAGCAUGUCGCGGUGAAUACGUUCCCGGGUCUUGUACACAAUGCCCGUCACACCAUGGGAGUGGGUUUUACCAGAAGUAAAGUUAGCCUAACCGUAAGGAGGGCGAUUACCACGGUAGGAUUCAGACUGAGGUGAAGUCGUAACAAGGUAG
Molecule: ribosomal RNA, 1450 nt
Filed under: uncultured Bordetella sp.
Lineage: Bacteria; Pseudomonadati; Pseudomonadota; Betaproteobacteria; Burkholderiales; Alcaligenaceae
Description: partial 16S-23S ribosomal RNA intergenic spacer
Rfam family: Bacterial small subunit ribosomal RNA
Source: RNAcentral